Molecule: long non-coding RNA, 1193 nt
Organism: Glycine soja
Lineage: Eukaryota; Viridiplantae; Streptophyta; Magnoliopsida; Fabales; Fabaceae
Exons: 8
Source: RefSeq, a predicted model, not a curated record
CCCUCUCCUUCUCUCUUGCCAAAAUGAAUUACUUGAUUUGUUUUCAAUUAAAAAAUCUCCUCUAUUUUCUUUUUCCAGUUCUCCUUCAUAUUGAAAUUCCCUCCAUCUACUUCCCUUUCCCGUUUCUCCUUCACACAGACAGAAGAACAAUGUGUUGUGUGUGAGUUUCGUUUGGCCUCUGCCAAUUUCAUCUUCUUCUUCUUGAGCAUUUUUUGAUGUUCUCCUCGGGAAUCUGAACUCAUGCUACUUGGGCUUCUCAUUACCUAUCUUCUCUGUUGUACCGUGUGACCGUGUACUUAAGGAAAGGCAACAGGAGGAAAAUAAACUUGAGACAGAGAACCUACCAAAGCCAAGGCAAAACCUGCUGACAAAGAAGUGAUUGAGAAAGAGAAUGAAGUUAGCGUCAGUUUUCUUAAUAUUCAAGUUGGGUUAAUUCGCAAAUCAUGGAAGCAUCCAUCUGCAGAUAGUUUGCUAGUUGAGGAGGACAAAGUGCGGCAGGUUAUUAGUGGGGUUUGGCAAAGUACUGCAAUCCUGAUGAGUUGACGAAUCGUUGUGUUGUACUUAUAACAAAUGUCAAACCUGGAAAACUACGGGAUGUGAUGUCUCAAGGAUUGGUCUUAUGUGCUUCGAAUGAAGGUCCAACCAUUGUAGAGCCCUUGCUUCUCCACAAGGAUCACAAAUUGGGGAGGUAUUUCUUUUUCUGGGAUUGACGGAAAGCCAGAAGAUGUACUAAACCCAAAAAAGAAAUAGCCAAAUAAGAUUACACCGGUAUUUUCUUUGCACUCGUUGCAUUUUUAAAAUUCAUAACUCUUGUUUUGUUUAAGGGUGAAGAUUUAACAUUCAACAUGAGUCUAAAGGUGGGGAACAUGAGUUUAGUGGUUGCAUUGGAACAGUAUAUCAGCUUCUUUUGGAUAAAGUUCCUGGAUGGAUGAAAGAUAUUUUUUUUGUGAGUUUGUAUUGUUAAGGCAUAGUGUUUUGUUAUCUUUUGAAGAUCAAUUCUCAUUGUAGUUUAACUAGUAAGUUUUUUUCUUUUCUUUUAGCCUAUUCUUAUUUUUUCUCUUGUUAAAAAUCAUAUUAAUGUUAUAUGGUGCAAUUUAUGGCUUUAGGAGUGUACAAAUAGUUGUUAGGGGUAAUUGUAAAAUUUUCAAUUUUUAUUAUUUUUAAAUAAUGUGAUUAUUGUUGAGAUUAUUAAA